ACUUAUCUCUCUGCCUCUACCUGAUCUCCUCUGAUCUCAAAAACUAAGCAAAAUUAGUCCUGGUUAAUAUGUGUGUGGAAGAUUGCCUGGUAAUACCAGGCACUCUAAGAA
Molecule: ribosomal RNA, 111 nt
Filed under: Phascolarctos cinereus (koala)
Lineage: Eukaryota; Metazoa; Chordata; Mammalia; Diprotodontia; Phascolarctidae
Source: RNAcentral